UAGUCCACGCCGUAAACGAUGAGUGCUAGACAUCGGAAAUUAAAUUUUCGGUUUCGCAGCUAACGCAUUAAGCACUCCGCCUGGGGACUACGAUCACAAGAUUAAAACUCAAAGGAAUUGACGGGGGCUCGCACAAGUGGUGGAGCAUGCGGUUUAAUUCGAUGCUACGCGAGGAACCUUACCUGGGCUAGAAUGCCUUUGCCAUCCCGGGAAACCGGGAGUUCCUUCGGGACGAAGUGCAAGGUGCUGCAUGGUUGUCGUCAGCUCGUGCCGUGAGGUGUUGGGUUAAGUCCCGCAACGAGCGCAACCCCUAUUCUUAGUUGCCAGCAUGUAAUGGUGGGGACUCUAAGAAGACUGCCUGCGCAAGCAGAGAGGAAGGAGGGGAUGACGUCAAAUCAUCAUGGCCCUUACGCCCAGGGCUACACACGUGCUACAAUGGCGCAUACAGAGGGUAGCUACCUGGCAACAGGAUGCCAAUCUCAAAAAAGUGCGUCUCAGUUCGG
RNAcentral lists this ribosomal RNA (503 nucleotides) under uncultured bacterium. RNAcentral's name for it is "bacterial SSU rRNA". It matches the Rfam family "Bacterial small subunit ribosomal RNA", at positions 791 to 1296 of the family's 1533-position model. The record is from RNAcentral.